This 822-nucleotide ribosomal RNA is filed under the name Pseudocercospora schizolobii. Its description in RNAcentral is "eukaryotic LSU rRNA". It matches the Rfam family "Eukaryotic large subunit ribosomal RNA", at positions 71 to 925 of the family's 3401-position model. Lineage: Eukaryota; Fungi; Ascomycota; Dothideomycetes; Mycosphaerellales; Mycosphaerellaceae. The record is from RNAcentral.
GGGAUUGCCCUAGUAACGGCGAGUGAAGCGGCAACAGCUCAAAUUUGAAAUCUGGCGUAAGCCCGAGUUGUAAUUUGUAGAGGAUGCUUCUGGGUAGCGGCCGGUCUAAGUUCCUUGGAACAGGACGUCAUAGAGGGUGAGAAUCCCGUAUGUGACUGGCUUGCACCCUCCACGUAGCUCCUUCGACGAGUCGAGUUGUUUGGGAAUGCAGCUCUAAAUGGGAGGUAAAUUUCUUCUAAAGCUAAAUACCGGCCAGAGACCGAUAGCGCACAAGUAGAGUGAUCGAAAGAUGAAAAGCACUUUGGAAAGAGAGUUAAAAAGCACGUGAAAUUGUUGAAAGGGAAGCGCCCGCAACCAGACUUUGCGGCGGUGUUCGGCCGGUCUUCUGACCGGUUUACUCGCCGCCGUGAGGCCAUCAUCGUCUGGGACCGCUGGAUAAGACCUGAGGAAUGUAGCUCCCUUCGGGGUGUGUUAUAGCCUCUGGUGAUGCAGCGCGUCUCGGGCGAGGUCCGCGCUUCGGCAAGGAUGAUGGCGUAAUGGUUGUCGGCGGCCCGUCUUGAAACACGGACCAAGGAGUCUAACAUCUAUGCGAGUGUUCGGGUGUCAAACCCCUACGCGUAAUGAAAGUGAACGGAGGUGGGAACUUUUUGUGCACCAUCGACCGAUCCUGAUGUCCUCGGAUGGAUUUGAGUAAGAGCAUAGCUGUUGGGACCCGAAAGAUGGUGAACUAUGCCUGAAUAGGGUGAAGCCAGAGGAAACUCUGGUGGAGGCUCGCAGCGGUUCUGACGUGCAAAUCGAUCGUCAAAUUUGGGUAUAGGGGCG